GAAAGAUAUAUUAUAUUGGUAAAAGGGACAAACAUGAUACACAAGUGUACUUUAGUGAUAUCUAAUAAUUGUUCGAAUUAUAAUGAGGAACUUUUUUGGAACGGAAAAAUUGUUAAAAAUUAUUUAAUUUAUGUAAACAUUGCAUAAGGUUUUUCCCUAUAAAAAGUGAUCAAACAAUUUUACAUUUUUUAUAUGUAAAUUUGAAAAAAUGGUUGAAAUUCUCAACUUUGUUUAUUUUCUUAUCCUUUUUAUUUCUCUAUUUCUUGAUGUAGUCAAAGGUCAUGAUCAAAGGGAGUGUUAUACUAACUAUGAUUGUUGUGUAAAAUAUUCUUGUCCUUAUAAACAUAUGGUGAAGUGCGUUGGUGGUUAUUGUUUGGGCUUUCGCAAUGACUAUGGUAAAAAAAAUCUCUAUUAGAAUAUCCUCACAACGAGAAUGAGAAGUGGUAUCAAGGUGUUUGAUUACGAGUGUAAAAUGGAUAAUCAUUUUCUCAUCUAUAUUAUAUUUUUCUUGAAUUUUUUUUGUAUUAUUGUUUAUGUUUAAAUUGGAUUCUAGGAUCUGAUAUUGGAACACCAAAGUCUAGUUUUAUACUCUAGUGUUGACUUGUUUUAUUAUGUAUUUAAUUAUAUAUAAGAAUAAUUGUAAUAUUCUCCUAAGAAAAAUAUUUUAUGUUGAAUUAUGACGUUUAGUUUUUAUUAUAGUGAUGAUAUGAUAUAUACUUUUAUUAU
This 726-nucleotide long non-coding RNA is filed under the name Medicago truncatula (barrel medic). RNAcentral describes it as "lncRNA gene22549". Lineage: Eukaryota; Viridiplantae; Streptophyta; Magnoliopsida; Fabales; Fabaceae. The record is from RNAcentral.